RNAcentral lists this ribosomal RNA (1218 nucleotides) under Triticum aestivum (bread wheat). RNAcentral's name for it is "partial small subunit ribosomal RNA". Lineage: Eukaryota; Viridiplantae; Streptophyta; Magnoliopsida; Poales; Poaceae. The record is from RNAcentral.
AUGCAAUCCCAGAUGCAAGAUAUUCCCCACAUACAAACCAUGGUCAAACACUACAGAUACGAUAAGUCAGACAAUGGUCAAUGGCCAUGCAAUGAGCUCGCCUCCGCCCUUUCUCCGCCCGCGUGGGCACGCGGCCGCGCCGCCCCGGCCUCCUACUCCACGGCGCCUGCGUGUGCAGCUGCGGUCUCCGCCCCGCCUGCUCCCCUCGCCGUGGCUGCUGCCUCUUCCAGCACCUCGCGCACGCUUCCUCUGCGGCUGACGCCCCGCCUCGCAUCUGCCUCCGUAUCGCGUGCGUGUGUUCAGCGUACGCGCCUCGCCUCGCCUCCUCCAGCGUUGCGCCGUCCGCGGCAGCAGCAGCCGGCGCCCCCGCGCCCGCCUGGCCGCCCCCUGCACGCGGGUCAGCCGGUCGUAUCCGCGCCUGACCGCCUCCUGCGCCGUCCGGCUGGGCCCGGCCCUGCCGUCCUCGCUCGUGCCCGUGCCGGCCCUCUCCUCCGUCCGGCUGCUCGCGCGGCGCCGGCUCUGGCUCCCGGCGCGUCCGCGGCUGCUCCCUCCUCUGCUGCGUCCGGGCUCAGCCGUCCCUCUGCCCCGCCCGACCGCGCGCCGGCGUCCCGCCCGCCGUCUCCGCCGACACGGCCCCGUCCGGCGUCCUGGGCGCUGCCUCGACCAGUCGGCUCGCGGCCGUGCCCCACCGCCCGAGCCCCCGCCCCGCUGCCGCUUUUCAGCCGCCGGCUCGCCACUCCGGCCUGCUGCGUCUCCGGCUCGCGGAUCCGCCUCCUGCACCCCGGCCGUCGUCUCCGCCGGCCUGCGCCGGCUCCCCGUGUCGGUCGGCCUCCCCGCUCCAGCCGGCCUCCUGCGUUGGCCGGCUCCGCCCGGCGACCCGGCCUGCCGCCUGCCGGCCGCGCUGCCGCGCCACAAUCCGGACGCCGAGUCCCGCACCUUGCCGCCUGCUGCUCCGCUCCGGCUCCCCACGGUCGUCUCCGCGCGCCGCCCGUUCCAGGCCGCCUGCAGGCUUCGCGCAGGCCGGCUGCCUACAACCCGGACGGCAGGCUCCCCCGCAACUCGGCCGGCCCUCCGCCUGUCGGCUCCAGCACGCCCGGCCGCCUGCCGGCUCCCGCCACUCGGCCGGCCCUCCGCCUGGCGACUCCAGUGCAACCGGCCGCCUACCGGCUUCGCGCGCCCCCGCCGGCUCCCCUGACCGCUGUGGUCGGCUGCCAGUGA